CACUAGUGAUGAGAUGCGUGCAGUCUCCUGUUUAAUACCCUGCAGUCCCCAGCUAUGAAGAUGUACUCCGCUGCUUAAGAACAGGAAAAGGAGAGCUGGGGACAGCUGGCCAUGUGGUUUCUUGGAAAAGCAGGAUAAACAGUGAUGACAGCAUGAGCCCUGGAUUCUGACAGCUUAUGUCAGAUUCCUACUCUGUUCACUUACCAGAAGUCUCCUGUUACACUGAAGCUCUGUCCAGACGAUUCUAAAAAUAGCCCGAUGGAAUCCUGUGGUUGGAAGAAACUGUGAGAGGUCACUGAGUCCGUCCCUCGCCUGCAGAAGGGCACUGGCGUGCAGUCCAGCGUCGGUGCUAUUGGAUACCCCAGAGCCAGGCCAACAGGGAACGGGUCUGAGGCCACUGGCAUGGCUGGCAUCUUGGUCUAAUAAUAAUCAGCCCAGACCCUGCCAACACAAGGCUGGCUCACCAAACUACCUGCCGAUAUGGCUUCUCUCCGGUCUUUCCAUUUCAUGGAUGUCCCACAGCCAACCAAUCCCAAACAAGCUCUUAUCUGCAUUUCUGAGCAUCUGAGAAUUAAAGGAAUUUAUUC
Molecule: long non-coding RNA, 587 nt
Organism: Bos taurus (domestic cattle)
Lineage: Eukaryota; Metazoa; Chordata; Mammalia; Artiodactyla; Bovidae
Source: Ensembl